Molecule: ribosomal RNA, 253 nt
Filed under: uncultured bacterium
Lineage: Bacteria
Description: partial 16S ribosomal RNA
Rfam family: Bacterial small subunit ribosomal RNA
Source: RNAcentral
GACGGAGGAUGCAAGCGUUAUCCGGAAUGAUUGGGCGUAAAGCGUCCGCAGGUGGCAGUUCAAGUCUGCUGUCAAAGACCGGGGCUUAACUUCGGAAAGGCAGUGGAAACUGAACAGCUAGAGUAUGGUAGGGGCAGAGGGAAUUCCUGGUGUAGCGGUGAAAUGCGUAGAGAUCAGGAAGAACAUCGGUGGCGAAGGCGCUCUGCUGGACCAUAACUGACACUCAGGGACGAAAGCUAGGGGAGCGAAUAGG